AAUGAAAAAGUAGUUAACCUCUCCUUUAUAUAACCGCCCAAAUCGUUUUCCCUCCAAACCCAAUAUAUUUUUCCUUCUUUCGACCGUUAUUUUAUCACAGCGGUAGCCAAUCACGGCGGAGCUCUCCUCCGUCGUCGCGAAAAAUAAUAUCCGCCACCGUUAAUAUGUGCUCGUUGAAACAAAUGAAGCCUUCUUCCACGGCCACGGAGGAUUGGAGAGAGGAAGCGAUCCGCCGCGGAUCCUUGAAACACGUCGAUCUCACCACCGGAUCCAACGGCUGGGCGGCGCCUCCCGCCGACAACUUCUCCGUCCGAGGAGCUAAUUACCCUGCCAAAAAGUGCAAAUCUCCGGCGGGAGAGUACCUCCUCGAUCCCGCCGGCGUCGACUGGAUCCGAUCCAACGGCAGGCUCGACCACCUCCUCGCGCGCCGCGACAACCGCGUGAUGAGCGCGAUCCGCCGCGGAUCGGAAUCGGAUCAAUCAGCGCCGUUCGUAAUCGCGGUGAAUCUCCAGAUCCCUGGCCGCGAGCAUCACUCCGUCGUUUUCUAUUUCUCGAGCAAGGAAGGGGAAGGGGAAUCGAUCGGAUCGAAUGCGCUGCUCUCCGAUUUCAUAAACGGAUCGGAUGAGUAUCGCGACGGCCGAUUCAAAAUCGUGAAUAAGAUCGUGAAAGGACCGAGGAUUCUGAAGGCGGCGGUGGGGAGGUACUCGGCGUGCCUCCUCGGGAAGGCGGUGAGGUGCAGCUACCACCGCGGGGCGGAUUAUCUGGAGAUCGACGUCGACAUCGGCAGCUCCUCCGUCGCGGCGACGAUUCUGAAGCUGGCGCUGGGGUGUGUGAAGGCGGUGACGGUGGAUUUGGGGUUUUUGGUGGAGGGGCAGACGGAGGAGGAGCUGCCGGAGAAGCUGUUUGGUGCGGUGAGGAUUUGCCAGAUGGAGAUGAGCUCGGCGAUGUUCGUAGACGCUGCCGCGCCGGUGGCGGCGAUCAGUAAUAAGCCAAACAGCCCCUUCCGGCAGCAGAUCUUUGUUUCUCUUUCCGCCGUCAUUAACAAUGGACAAAGGGAAAUCGGUGAUGGGUUCUGGCCGGCGAUGGGCAGUCGGAUUCACGGACAAUUCAGCCUCCCCUUCAUCGCGUGAUAUUCCUGAUCCACCGGGCUUCACUAGGGCUUCCCAGGAUCAGGAUGAUUCGGCUGUGAGCAAACAGAAGAAGGAUGCUGAGGCAAAUUGGAAAGCUCAGAAAACAUGGGAGGUUGCACAAGCACCCUUCAAGAAUUUGAUGAUGAUGGGAUUCAUGAUGUGGAUGGCCGGAAGCACGGUUCA
Molecule: RNA transcript, 1313 nt
Organism: Salvia splendens (bonfire salvia)
Lineage: Eukaryota; Viridiplantae; Streptophyta; Magnoliopsida; Lamiales; Lamiaceae
Gene name: ER membrane protein complex subunit 4
Exons: 4
Source: RefSeq, a predicted model, not a curated record